GUACAUUGGAGGGCAGUCUGGUGCCAGCAGCCGCGGUAAUUCCAGCUCCAAUAGCGUAUAUUAAAGUUGUUGCAGUUAAAAAGCUCGUAGUUGGAUAUCUGCUGGAAGCAAUCAGUCCGCCCUUUUCGUAAGGGUGUGCACUUGAUGAAUUCUGGCAUGAUUUCAUCCUAAUAAUAAUAUAUUAUUAUAUUAGGUUGAUUCCUAGUAUAAUAAUAUUUAUUAUUAUGGGGAUGACAGUUACUUUGAGAAAAUUAGAGUGUUUGAAGCAGGCUUUUGUUGCCUUGAAUACUGCAGCAUGGAAUAACAAUAUAGGAUUUCGGUUCUAUUAUUUUGUUGGUUUUUUCUGUAGGACUGAAAUAAUGAUUAAUAGGGACAGUUGGGGGCAUUCGUAUUUAACUGUCAGAGGUGAAAUUCUUAGAUUUGUUAAAGACGAACUACUGCGAAG
Molecule: ribosomal RNA, 445 nt
Filed under: Sarcocystis gigantea
Lineage: Eukaryota; Apicomplexa; Conoidasida; Eucoccidiorida; Sarcocystidae
Description: SSU rRNA
Rfam family: Eukaryotic small subunit ribosomal RNA
Source: RNAcentral